RNAcentral lists this ribosomal RNA (499 nucleotides) under uncultured bacterium. Its description in RNAcentral is "partial 16S ribosomal RNA". It matches the Rfam family "Bacterial small subunit ribosomal RNA", at positions 28 to 507 of the family's 1533-position model. The record is from RNAcentral.
GACGAACGCUGGCGGCGUGCUUAACACAUGCAAGUCGAACGGGCCUGUCUUCUUUUUUGGGGGUGGGUUGAGUGGCGAACGGGUGAGUAUCACGUGAGUAACCUGCCCUUCGGUCCUGGAUAACCGCUUGAAAGGGCGGCUAAUACGGGGUGGUCCGGUUGGUCCGCAUGGGCUGGUCGGGAUAGAUUCACUGUUUUUGGUGUUUCGGCGGGGGAUGGGCUCGCGGCCUAUCAGCUUGUUGGUGGGGUGAUGGCCUACCAAGGCGGUGACGGGUAGCCGGCCUGAGAGGGUGGGCGGCCACACUGGGACUGAGAUACGGCCCGGACUCCUGCGGGAGGCAGCAGUGGGGGGUAUUGCACAAUGGGCGGAAGCCUGAUGCAGCGACGUCGCGUGAGGGAUGGAGGCCUUCGGGUUGUGAACCUCUGUUUCCGGUGGUGAAGGCCCUGUCCGUGUGGUGGGGUUGACGGUAGCCGGGGAUGAAGCGCCGGCUAACUACGUG